Non-coding RNA from Schistosoma curassoni, 45 nucleotides. Lineage: Eukaryota; Metazoa; Platyhelminthes; Trematoda; Strigeidida; Schistosomatidae. The record is from Rfam.
AUUCAGCCGAUGAGUCCCAACUUGGAGGAAACUCACGUCCUGGAU